CCUCCCUCUUCGCGACCUGACGACCCACGCACCAAACCACUGUCCUUCCUACACCUUCAGCUUCGCUCCGGCCGCUACACCGCCUCCGUUCAACCUAUUUCGAUGUCACCGACGCAUUUCUGGCUCUUGCUUUUCCAAUCGGCGAUCGUGGAAGGAGAAAUCACAGUGAACAGUGUCGAGCAUCAAGGUGGCACCAGCGUUUACAGCCACUGAUUCGAUCGAACUUGGUAUGGAAAUCAUUCAUCUCGUCGUCUUCAUCAUCCUGGUGAUUUAGUUUGAUUGAUUUCUUCACUAAUUCGAUUUUGAAUCUUCCUGGGUUUACUGGUCGACGUCGUUCUUCGAAAAUUGGAGCCUAUUCUGUCAAUUCUAGGAUUCAUUAGGCUUCGUAUGCAACUUGGUGAGGUAUCAAGAAGCUGAGUUGAUCAUCCAACUUUACCUUGACGGAUCAUCGAAUUCAUGAGGAAGCUUCUGCCAUUUGGGAAAUUUGAAGUUGUUGGGAUUGAUUCAGAUACAUUAAGGGAAGUAAUCAUUGUUGUUGCUAAGCUUCUUUGGGUCUGAAGAUCAAAUCCUCAAUUUUCCACUCUGAUCAAAUUGAUCAUUAGGGUAUAGGAUACGUGUUUGUGUUUGUGAGUAUGAGACAUUACUUCCAGAGGAAUCAAGCAGUCAAGCAGCUAGUAUGGACUUUCAGGGAUUAACUGUAGAGAUGCUAUGUGCCCUUCUGAAGGCUAAAGGUCUUUUUGUAAAGGGAAAAAUGCAAGUAUUAUGAUGAGUCAAUUAUGGAAUUGUAAAGUACAUUACUAGGAAUUAAUAGUAGUGAGUUAAUGUUCAGAAAAUGCUGGAGUCAUGUAGUGGUUGCUUGUUGAACAAUGUCAAACAUGGACUGGUAUGUGCACUGUUUUAUUUUCACUUCUACGCAAACUUUUGGAGCGCUAUCACUUCAGUAAUAUAAUUAUUGGAGUGUUGUGAACUGAGAAUACAUGUGGAUUUUUUAAGGUUAUUGGAGAUCCAAUAGCAUGGGUGUCAUCCAAAUUUUUUUGAGAAACUAAGGUAAGAACCUAUGAACUAGAAUUUACUAAAUUUCAUAUCUGAACUCAAUGAAUUCAUAUGUAUUGCCGAAAAACAUAGUUGUUUGGUGCACAUAUGUUGCUCGAAGAAUUACCUUUAUUUGUAGGUGGUCAAUUUAAGCAAGAUUACAUGGUCACAUUAUGAGUAUGAAGUUAGCUAUUUCGCAAAGUGUUUUAGAUCUAGUGAUGUUUAUAUUUAUGCUUGUAGAGAUUUAGUGCAUGGUUGCACUGAUUUGUAUGUUUGAAACCUAGGUGAUUAAUUUUUGUUGAUAUAUUGGUGAAUAUAAUAUUUCAAUGGCAAAUAUAUAAUUGUGUGAU
This is a long non-coding RNA of Argentina anserina (silverweed cinquefoil), 1382 nucleotides long. RefSeq lists it as uncharacterized. Lineage: Eukaryota; Viridiplantae; Streptophyta; Magnoliopsida; Rosales; Rosaceae. The transcript has 4 exons. The record is from RefSeq and is a predicted model, not a curated record.